AUUGUGGCCUAAAGCUUUUCAAUUUUCCGCCAAAAAUAAACGCGGCAAAACAAAAAGCCUUUUAAUUACUUUCCCGAUUUUUUAGCCCAUUCUCUAGUAACUAUUCUUGCUAGGGUUUUUCUUAUCGAUUCUUAUUCAAGAGCUCCUCCCCUGUUAUUUCUGCUGAUAAGAAGAACGGUAAGAAGACUUGCUGCUGCUGAUCGGAGAGAACGAGAAAUACAAGUACUGGAAAAGAGCCAAACUUGCAGAAACUUUGGGAAUUGACUCACACGAAGAACGGACAUUGGGUUAAUGAUGCCUCUGCAGAAUUAAAUGAUAAGGUGAAAGAAUAUGUUGCUGAACAAAUUCAAAAAAUUGAAGAGGAUACUGAUCUGGACCCGGUUGUUAAUGCUGCAUUUGUGAAAUUUGUUGGAGAAACGUCAAGUUAUUUCCGUGGUCAAGGAUUAGGAGUUAAGUCAACAAGUAGGAAAUCUAUGAAUGGAAUUCAAGAGAAACUACAAGCACAACAAAAAGAGGUAGAAGAAGAACGUCGUAAAAGAGAGAGUGUAGAAUGCCAGCUAAAGGAAGUAAAGAUUCAGCUUGAGGAGGAGCGAAAAAGUCGAGAAGCCAUGGUGCGUGACCAAAAACUAUUGAAACAGAGCAUGAUGGCACUAGCAUCACAUUUGCUAAGUAAUGAGGAUGAGCGUGAGUAAACCAACGUAGCUGGCAAUAUGGUUCAUGCACAAGUUAUUGGAAGAAAAUUUGCUUUUAAAAUUGUUAUUAGAAUAGAAAUAUGACUCUUGGAGAUGUUCUUGUUAUUUUUUAUAAGUAAAAACAUAUGUUUUAGUGGUAUUUAGUUUUUAAAAGUAUGUAAAAUACUUGGUGCUUAAGUUGUAUUGACUUUUGCAAAUAUAUAUCAUAUAUCAAUUUUUAUAUA
Nicotiana attenuata is the source of this 916-nucleotide long non-coding RNA. RefSeq lists it as uncharacterized. Lineage: Eukaryota; Viridiplantae; Streptophyta; Magnoliopsida; Solanales; Solanaceae. The record is from RefSeq and is a predicted model, not a curated record. The transcript is spliced from 4 exons.